GCCUGGAUAGCUCAGUCGGUAGAGCACAUCCUUGGUAAGGAUGAGGUCGUGGGUUCAAUUCCCGCUCCAGGCU
RNAcentral lists this transfer RNA (73 nucleotides) under bacterium. RNAcentral's name for it is "tRNA-Thr". It matches the Rfam family "tRNA". Rfam says of the family: Transfer RNA (tRNA) molecules are approximately 80 nucleotides in length. Their secondary structure includes four short double-helical elements and three loops (D, anti-codon, and T loops). RNAcentral also lists the same sequence under 1 other name. The record is from RNAcentral.